CAGAGAGGUGGCCUCACAGACAGGGUAGGGCAGGAGCAGACCUAGGGCCAUAACCAGGUGCCCCAGAAAAACUUGGAUCAACAUCAGAGCUUUUCACACAGGGAUGUGUGUCGAAGGAAGCUUGGGCCUCUGGAGACAGAAAUGGAGGUGUGUCGAAGGAAGCUUGGGCCUCUGGAGACAGAAAUGGAGGUGUGUCGAAGGAAGCUUGGGCCUCUGGAGACAGAAAUGGAGGUGUGUCGAAGGAAGCUUGGGCCUCUGGAGACAGAAAUGGAGGUGUGUCGAAGGAAGCUUGGGCCUCUGGAGACAGAAAUGGAG
Long non-coding RNA from Oncorhynchus keta (chum salmon), 315 nucleotides. RefSeq lists it as uncharacterized. The record is from RefSeq and is a predicted model, not a curated record. NCBI's taxonomy places the organism in Eukaryota, Metazoa, Chordata, Actinopteri, Salmoniformes, Salmonidae. The transcript is spliced from 3 exons.